CAAGCGGUGGAGCAUGUGGUUUAAUUCGAUGCAACGCGAAGAACCUUACCUGGUCUUGACAUAGUAAGAACUUUCCAGAGAUGGAUUGGUGCCUUCGGGAACUUACAUACAGGUGCUGCAUGGCUGUCGUCAGCUCGUGUCGUGAGAUGUUGGGUUAAGUCCCGCAACGAGCGCAACCCUUUUCCUUAUUUGCCAGCACUUCGGGUGGGAACUUUAAGGAUACUGCCAGUGACAAACUGGAGGAAGGCGGGGACGACGUCAAGUCAUCAUGGCCCUUACGACCAGGGCUACCCCCGUGCUACAAUGGUCGGUACAAAGGGUUGCUACACAGGGAUGUGAUGCUAAUCUCAAAAAACCGAUCGUAGUCCGGAUUGGAGUCUGCAACUCGACUCCAUGAAGUCGGAAUCGCUAGUA
RNAcentral lists this ribosomal RNA (414 nucleotides) under uncultured Acinetobacter sp. Its description in RNAcentral is "bacterial SSU rRNA". It matches the Rfam family "Bacterial small subunit ribosomal RNA", at positions 926 to 1340 of the family's 1533-position model. Lineage: Bacteria; Pseudomonadati; Pseudomonadota; Gammaproteobacteria; Moraxellales; Moraxellaceae. The record is from RNAcentral.